GGAGUUUGGUCCGUGUCUCAGUACCAAUGUGGGGGACCUUCCUCUCAGAACCCCUACUGAUCGUCGCCUUGGUGGGCCGUUACCCCGCCAACCGGCUAAUCAGACGCAUCCCCAUCCCUUACCGAUGAAUCUUUGCUCCUCGUUAGAUGCCCGCAAAGGAGAACAUAGGGCAUUAAUCCGACUUUCGCCGGGCUAUUCCCUAGUAAGGGGAAGGUUGGAUACGCGUUACUCACCCGUGCGCCGGUCGCCGCCAAGGUAUUGCUACCUCGCGCUGCCCCUCGACUUGCAUGUGUUAAGCCUGCCGCUAGCGUUCAUC
This 316-nucleotide ribosomal RNA is filed under the name uncultured Prevotella sp. Its description in RNAcentral is "partial 16S ribosomal RNA". Lineage: Bacteria; Pseudomonadati; Bacteroidota; Bacteroidia; Bacteroidales; Prevotellaceae. The record is from RNAcentral.